AGUCACAUUAUUUUCAAGGCAAAGUUACUUGGGUCCGUGGCCUACCCUCUGCAUAAUUGCGAUACGAACCCAUAUUACAACAGCCUACUAUCUGAGAGCAUGAUGAGCCAUAAUUGGCACGCACACAAUCAAAUGUUUUGUUGGCAGCCUGACCAGCAAAAACGGCUUCCAAGAACAGGUAUAUUCGACCGCGCCAAAGCUUCCAGACCAUUCGCCAUCGUGCGGAGAUGCAGAUAGGUUUAUAAGUAUCAGAGCGCGACACAAUUUGUACUUAAAAUGCGAAUUUGGUGGUACGUGCUCACAUCAUUAGUAAUUGGAUUAUUAACAUCGGUACACAGCAAAAGAGAUCCGAAGCAGCUGGUCGCCUUUGUAUAUACGUCAACACAUACGUCACUUACAAUUACCACGACCACAAGCGUGGUGCCCCGCAUAUGUAUCUUCGGCCCGUACACGCUGACGACCUGCUCGGGUCGCCGCCGGAGGAGACGCAGUCAGAAGGACAGGUCGGUCCAAUUCUGAACAGCUGUGUUAUCUUACAUAUGUAGUUCUGUGCUGAUGUAGUUGUCAGCUACGGUGAAAUCAAUCGAGUGCUAUGUUCAUUGUUCAUUGUAACAGAUCCCAAGGCUUCCUGUCGUGUUACGUGUCAAAUUAUUAUAUUUUGCCAUAUUUCCAUACAUCUGAUGCGUAUUUCGAACUUGCCACUCCAUUUUAC
This is a long non-coding RNA of Amphibalanus amphitrite, 712 nucleotides long. RefSeq lists it as uncharacterized. The record is from RefSeq and is a predicted model, not a curated record. NCBI's taxonomy places the organism in Eukaryota, Metazoa, Arthropoda, Thecostraca, Balanomorpha, Balanidae. The transcript is spliced from 3 exons.